This 288-nucleotide long non-coding RNA is filed under the name Phoenix dactylifera (date palm). RNAcentral describes it as "long non-coding RNA (PDAC_LNC000692)". The record is from RNAcentral. Lineage: Eukaryota; Viridiplantae; Streptophyta; Magnoliopsida; Arecales; Arecaceae.
CAUGGUAUAUGGUUCCAAAAUGGGAAAUGUUCCAAUAUGAUAAAAUGUUCCAAAGAUAAAAAGGUUAUACAAUUGAUGCUUAAAUGGAGUUGGUAAAACCGUAAAACCCUCCAAUGGUGUUAAUUAUUGUUUGCAAGAUUCCCAAGCUCUCUUGCUUGAUAUAUUUUGCUCUCUAAUUGUAGGAAUUGAGUCGUAUCUUUCAUGCAAAAAAAGAAUCCACCUUUUUUUUACACGAAUCUACCCCUAGAUAUAUGACCCACCGUAUAGACCUCAAAGCGCCCCAAACUC